RNAcentral lists this ribosomal RNA (254 nucleotides) under uncultured bacterium. RNAcentral's name for it is "partial 16S ribosomal RNA". It matches the Rfam family "Bacterial small subunit ribosomal RNA", at positions 524 to 776 of the family's 1533-position model. The record is from RNAcentral.
UACGUAGGGUGCAAGCGUUGUCCGGAAUUAUUGGGCGUAAAGAGCUCGUAGGCGGUUUGUCGCGUCUGCUGUGAAAACCCGAGGCUCAACCUCGGGCCUGCAGUGGGUACGGGCAGACUAGAGUGCGGUAGGGGAGAUUGGAAUUCCUGGUGUAGCGGUGGAAUGCGCAGAUAUCAGGAGGAACACCAAUGGCGAAGGCAGAUCUCUGGGCCGUAAGCUGACGCUGAGGAGCGAAAGCAUGGGGAGCGAACAGG